This 77-nucleotide transfer RNA is filed under the name Marinococcus halophilus. RNAcentral describes it as "tRNA-Arg". It matches the Rfam family "tRNA". Rfam says of the family: Transfer RNA (tRNA) molecules are approximately 80 nucleotides in length. Their secondary structure includes four short double-helical elements and three loops (D, anti-codon, and T loops). RNAcentral also lists the same sequence under 1 other name. Lineage: Bacteria; Bacillati; Bacillota; Bacilli; Caryophanales; Bacillaceae. The record is from RNAcentral.
GCGCCCGUAGCUCAAUUGGAUAGAGCGUCUGACUACGGAUCAGAAGGCUAGGGGUUCAAGUCCUCUCGGGCGCACCA